AAUUGCCACAGCCACCUCAGCCUUCAGCCACCACCACCCUGAUCAGUCAGCAGCCACAAACAAGACCUUCCACCAGCAAAGAGAUCCCAACUUCCUCAAGCCUCAGCACUACCGAGGUUGACGCAGCUAGAUGGUUUUCUCCCCGGCUGGUUGCUGCUUCUCACCCACAGAGGCGGUGGAGCCCUUGGAACUGGGCAGAACACAGGGCUGCCUUGUCACCACUGCCUGGCUGAACCUGAAAUUGGGCCGUUUGACAGAAAGACUUGAAAGGGCCACCAGUAAAUUCUUUUUUCUUUUCAUUGA
This 303-nucleotide long non-coding RNA is filed under the name Homo sapiens (human). RNAcentral's name for it is "HSALNT0360890". The record is from RNAcentral. Lineage: Eukaryota; Metazoa; Chordata; Mammalia; Primates; Hominidae.